AAGUCGUAACAAGGUUUCCGUAGGUGAACCUGCGGAAGGAUCAUUAACACGUAUCCAAACGUUUAAAAAAAAAAGAAAACCCCCCUGUGAACAUUUGCUUGCUCCACCACGGCCGGUCGCUGCUGCUUGUGGGCGUUCGUGCCCCCAGGAUUACCCCGCUACCAGUCGAAACGACCAACCUGCGCAACCAUUACGUGUUGAGCCCGUGGGCGUCGUAAACCGAAAUACUUGAACAACUGUUAACAAUGGAUAUCUUGGUUCUC
RNAcentral lists this unclassified non-coding RNA (263 nucleotides) under fungal sp. Its description in RNAcentral is "partial internal transcribed spacer region". The stretch from base 1 to 46 matches the Rfam family "Eukaryotic small subunit ribosomal RNA", at positions 1786 to 1831 of the family's 1831-position model. The record is from RNAcentral. Lineage: Eukaryota; Fungi.